CCUACGGGGGGCAGCAGUGAGGAAUAUUGGUCAAUGGGCGCGAGCCUGAACCAGCCAAGUAGCGUGAAGGAUGACUGCCCUACGGGUUGUAAACUGCUUUUAUAAGGGAAUAAACUGAGGCACGUGUGCCUUUUUGCAGGUACCUUAUGAAUAAGGACCGGCUAAUUCCGUGCCAGCAGCCGCGGUAAUACGGAGGAUCCGAGCGUUAUCCGGAUUUAUUGGGUUUAAAGGGAGCGCAGAUGGCUUGUUAAGUCAGUUGUGAAAGGUCGCGGCUCAACCGUAGAAUUGCAGUGCAUACUGGGAGGCUUGAGUGCAGUUGAGGUAGGCGGAAUUCGUGGUGUAGCGGUGAAAUGCUUAGAUAUCACGAAGAACUCCGAUUGCGAAGGCAGCUUACUAUACUGUUACUGACAUUGAGGCUCGAAGGUGCGGGUAUCAAACAGGAUUAGAUACCCGUGUAGUC
Molecule: ribosomal RNA, 460 nt
Filed under: uncultured bacterium
Lineage: Bacteria
Description: partial 16S ribosomal RNA
Rfam family: Bacterial small subunit ribosomal RNA
Source: RNAcentral